CAUGUUACUUAGGGCAAGCAAUUGGCGUGGUUGUUGGAUAUGGAGACCGAUGGCAACAUAGUGACAGCCGUCAUCUUCUUACUUUCAUUACGGUAAUCGAUUCAAAAGCUAAACUAAAAACUAGAGCUACUAAUAAAAGGUAAGGUUGAUAACUGGGAUGAAGGUGAUGGUUGAUUUGAUGUUUAAGAGAAAGGGUGGAGUGGUUGAUGUUAUCAUCCCUGGAUAUGAGGAAGAUUUCAAUCGUAAGAUCAUUCCUCCACGUGAGGCCUGGAGGAUCAAAGUCAGGGUACUAAGGGCUUGGACUGUACUUAGCUUUGGUAAUUCAGAUGUUCCAAAUUCAAUUGAACUUAUUCUGGUUGAUGAAAAUUCUACCAAACUCCAGGCCACUAUAAGGAAGCAACUAAUACACAAGUUUAAAGAUCAUCUUCUUGAAGGCAGUUGUUAUAAGAUGAGUUAUUUUGCUGUUGUUUCAAACCAAGGCUCUUAUAGAGCUACAAAGCAUGAGUUCAAACUCAUUUUUCUGUUUCGUACAACAGUGACAAUAAUUCCUGAUGAUAUAAUACCCAAGUCUUGUUUUUCUAUAUAUCCCUUUAAAGACAUAUUGCAAAUGAGUUAGGAUCAUGACUAUUUAGUUGAUGUAAUUGGUCUUUUGACAUUGGUUGGGGAAGAGAAAAACUAUGACAGGGAUGGUAAAACGGUUAAGAUGGUUGUUGUCGAACUUUCUUCACAAAAGAUGAUGCUGCGAUGCGCAUUAUUUGGAGAGUACGUGGACCAGUUAAAUGAUUUUCUUGCUUCUGGUUAUGUUGAGCAAUCGGUUGUCAUUGUUCAACUUGCUAAGAUUAAACCUUUUCGAGGUGUUGUAACUGAAUGUUAUCUUAUUAUAUGUACGGUUAUGUUAUCCUGAUCUUUAGAUCUGUUGACAUUCUUUUAUUACCCAUAGGUCAACCUGGUCUCCAGAAUGUUAUGAACGCAACGAAAAUUU
This is a non-coding RNA of Arachis ipaensis, 982 nucleotides long. The record is from RefSeq and is a predicted model, not a curated record. NCBI's taxonomy places the organism in Eukaryota, Viridiplantae, Streptophyta, Magnoliopsida, Fabales, Fabaceae.